Onthophagus taurus is the source of this 2715-nucleotide non-coding RNA. The record is from RefSeq and is a predicted model, not a curated record. NCBI's taxonomy places the organism in Eukaryota, Metazoa, Arthropoda, Insecta, Coleoptera, Scarabaeidae.
AGUAGAAAGUAUACUGACAGUUCUAAAUGUGCCGAAUAGAUGACUACAGUUUAAAAUGAGUAUUUAAAACUACCGGUACUUUAAAGUACCGUCGGGACAUAAAGGGAUGAUGCAACGAGGGGAUGUAAAAGGUGUAAAAUUUGCAUAUUGGGUUAAAAUAUGAUACAUAACUAUUAGAAUUGGAUACUCCAAGCAGUGAAAAGGUCUAUUUAAGAAUGUAUCUUUAAACAUUUCAAAAUUGUACCAAUAACUUCUUCAACAUCAUGAUUUAAAUUAAUUAAUAAAUGGGUUAAUGAUAAAAGGAGACAAAAAAAAAAUGAUUUGAUGACUCUCAAUACUAGAUUGUAUUGACAAUUUCUUCUCGCGUUUCAAGAUUAAGACCAUCUGGCCUCUCCGAUAUUCUUACACUUGGAAGAAACCACUUUCCAAAAAAAAAACUACUUUCACAUUCAUUAAUGAAAAUUGAAAACAUAUUUGUAAGGUAUUACAUAAAAGUAUGAGCUUAAAGAACUCAACUGACCUGUUAGUUACAGCAAAUACAUAUUACAGAAGAAAUACUCGAAAUCUUAUGGACGUUUUUCCAUAAAAAGAGGAAAAUCGACGAAGAUAUGUUAAAAUUUGUUUAAAAAUAGCGUAUAAAGCGUGCACCAAAAUGGAAGGGAAAUCUUUCUACAUCAGAUAUUGGAGAAUACACAACCUCGACACAUUCGCAAUCAGUAGAUCUCGAAGUUCACGACUUUCUGUGCCUCUAUGAGAGGCAAAGCAAAAUGUAGACAACUUUAAAUUACACCAUCUAUUGAGAUAACUCGAGGAAUCGAGAAUGCAUUUUGGCUGUAAUUUUAGCAAGUUAUAAAGCGCCAAGCAUACUCAUUGUGCGAAACAUCGUGGAUAGAUUGAUAUUAUUCUCUGCAAAUCGUUUUUAGAUAACAUAAUCAACGCUCAAUGUUUACACAUCAUCGGUGUAAAUGAGAACGAGAGAAAGGAUUAAGGAGAUUGUGAAUCUAUUUUAUGGCGCUGAGAAGAAAUGGUGAUAGAAACAGUGACUUGUUGCAUUAAGAAGAGGAUACUUUAAUUAAUAAAGAAAAAUAUAUAUAGAUUUAUUACAUCUAGUGGUUGGUUCAUGAAACACUGGAAAAGUGAUACUAUAACAUUUGAAACAUUUAAACAUCAACGAUUAAGAAGAUUGUGAAGUUAUUUUAUGGCGCUGGGAAGAAAUAUUGGAUCCCAGAGAAGUCCUAACAGCGUUUUUAGGUAUAGUAGCCAAGUUAUAUUUACAAUUUUUGCUUUUAUUGGUUAUCCAAAUCUACCAUAAAGCAGAGAAAACAAAUUGACGUUAAUUUGAUGACGUUUGAAUCGCAAUUCUAACACAUCUACGUAACAGUAUCUUUUAAUUGAAUAAACGUUUCGGUAAUUCACGUUUAAUUUAAAUCAUCUAUCGUUCACGUUAAUUUCGUUUCUCGCUCCAUUUUUUUUAUUGGACCAAUCUUAAUUCGUCGUCAAUUGGCCGAAACGAUGACAGAGAUUAUUUUUGAUAUACAGAGAUCACCAAAAGUCUUUAUCAACUGAAAUUUUUUUUAUCGCGACUAUGAAGGAAUUACUUAGAAAAUGUGUUAAGGUAGAUUUGUAAUCUAAAAAAAAUACGCGUAAAUUCGGCGUCUAUAAAUAAAUAAAAAAAUUGAAUGGAUUAAAAAUAAACUUUUAUGAGUAAUCCAGAUAACAAUUACAAUAAUUCUAAUAAAAGUACGUCGAGUAAGAAUUGUUCUUCUUAAGACACUUACAAAGUUUUAACACAAAUUAAUAAUCGAACAAAAACAAAUUAUUACAAAUUUCUCUUCCCCUCGAUUUUUAUUGCAUCACGCAAACUUGGCGGUACCCAAGGCCAACUUACGUUCUAAUUAUGUAGAGAGAGAGACCAUCGAUAUAAUAAACCGUCUUAUUAUGUAGCAUUUUUGUUAAAUAAGACUUGAUUCGAGUCGCUUCGAGACACACGUCAUUUUUUUUCCUUUUUCGAUCGUAAUUUUAUUUUUUUUUAAAUUCCUUUUAAGUCGCAUUCUUGCGUAACCCGCGAGACACGUAGCGGCGGUUUCUCUCUCGCCUGAAACGGGGGCCCGCAACAAUCACGUGACUACCUACGUCACGGACACGCCUCCGUGGAAUUUCUGAGUUCGCCAAGCGAUUUACGACGUACUAAAAACGACCAUACAUGAUAUACGAGUAGAUUGAAGAUGAUAUUAAAUUAUAAACGAUAUUCUUUUCUUUAUUGUGUAACAUUUUUAACGUUAACUUAGCUCGCGAUAAUAAUAUCCGGUGUGCGCGAUAAAAAGGAACAAAACGUUUUCAGUAAAGAUUAAGAACUUGUAAACAAUUCGCUAAUAUCAACAAACUCCCACGUAAUACUCCAAACGUAUACAAACUUUAAUCGCAAAAUUUGGUUUCGAUUUCAUUUACUUUGAGAUGACGCUUGAAUUCAUUAUUUUAUUAAAAAGAACCCUUGGCAACGCUUGUUAUAAAUUAUCAUCGAUGAUAACACGAUAAACAUGAAGAUAAAGUAAAGCUCGUGUAAAUAAUUAAUGAAUGGAAGCGUUCAUGUAAAAGAGGGUUUUAAUUAAGCUAUAUAGAAACAUUUUUGCUUAAAAUUCUUCAAAAGUUCAAUAAAAAUAUACAACAAUUUAGCGCUGAACAACGGGUUCAGCCGUGCGUCUUAAUAAGAAUCAA